CUCACACAUAAGUCCACGGAACCGAGCCCCCCUCUCUCUCUGCACACCACGGAACCCUAGCCCCUUUUUCUUUCUCUCUCCCAGCCAAUAGCAGCAGGAGGCCAGGAGCCAUGGCCUAGUGCCCAGUGCCUAGCGCCCAGCGCUGUCGUCGCCGACAAACUUGUCUCCUCAGCCAGCGUCCAGCCUCGUCGUCGCCGAUCCUCUUCUCCUGGAUCCCGUUUCCUCGCGUCGCUAGGUCUCAUCGCCGAACAGGUGGCAUCAGAAAUCAUCGCCUGUGGAAGCUCAACCCCGCAGCCCCGUCGCUUGUGGAAGCUCGGCGCCGUCGCAGGAGCUUGACGUCGUCUCCUCUAUUCCAGCACGCUCUCUGUGUUCAUCGUGCCUCCGUCACCGUCACUGUGCCUCCGUCACCAUCAUCGUGCCUCCGUCACCGUCUCCUCAUUCUUGUGAUUAUAGAUACUUUGGUAGUUAUAAUUAUGCCAAGCUAGAAUGAUUAGAGGGAGAUAAUGAUCAACAUUCCAAUUUGAGGUAAAAGUUCUCCAUUUUGUAUCUAUGUCAAAUUUGGUGACCUUGUCCAGUGACUUGAAGGAUCUAUGAAGCCAUUAGUCUUGUUUUGUUCUUUGUAUUGUUCUGUGUUCUUGCUUUAAAUGAUUAGCUCUGCUCACUGCUGUUGUACUGUGCUGUACUGAAAAAAAUUGAGACUGAAAUUGUCCUCAAAGCCUGAAAUUUUGAUAAUCUUUGUUAAUCUUUGGAAAAGUUUGUUGUUGUUGCUGCAUAAUUUUUUAUUGUGUUUUAAUUAUUUGUGUUGUGGCUCUGCUCUGUUUUAUUGUGUUAUCCUAGUAAAUGUUUGCACGAAAGGUGCAACAAAGAACAGAAAGUUUUACAUAUUUUGCAUUUGCUUGCAGUAUAAUUUCAAGGAUAGCUCUGUGAAAUUGGUGUAUGUACCCCAGCCACAUCCUCGGGCAAUUGCUUCUCUGUCUUGGAAAAUAAUUGUCAAAGUGGCAUGUGGGACAAAUCACACAAUGGCGGUGGAUAAGGAUGGCGACUUUGUCUACUUUUGUGGAUUUGGUGGUUAUGGAAGGUUUAUGCAUAAUUUUCAGAUUGGUUGUCAAUGUUCUGUAAAAUACAAAGAAAUCACAACAAUCAGAUGAUUCAAUUCAAAUUAGUUUUAUUUAUUUAUUUGGCUGGUUCUGUGAAUUCUGCGUGUACUGCAGGACAGCAGAGAGGGAAGCAAGCUUGAUUCUACCAAUGCCCAUAAUACAGAAGACAAUUGAUUAUCUACUUUUUCUUCUAGAUCAGCCCUAUGUUGAGAGGUUUCUUAGUGCAUAUAAAUUCUUGUGGAAUAGGAUGAGAGCAAUUAGAAUGGACCUGAGAAUGCAGCACAUUUUCUAUCAAAGAGCUAUUCUAUGCUUGAACAGAUGAUCCAAUUACACAUCAUUGCAAUGCAUGAAUUAUGUGAAUACACAAAGAAAAAGGAUUUUCUGCGGGCUUUGAUGCUCACUUCAAUAUUGAACAUAUGAACAUAACUUCGGUUGAAUUGUUUCAGAUGUAUGAUGAUCACAGAAAAAAAGGAAUACUUGUGCCUACCGAAAAAGAGUUUCGAGGCUAUUAUGCUCUCCUUAAAUUGGAUAAGCAUCCUGGUUAUAAAUUUGAUCCCAGUAUAAAUGACAAUAUUGGUGAAACUGAAGGUGAAAUUGGUGGACAUGUUUUUUCUGCAAUUGAUAUGCCAAGUCUUAGGUGUUAUUUGUAUUUUUCAUUUUUUUUAAAUUUCAAUGUGAAAUGAGGAACUGAGAUGUGUAAUGUAUAAUGAAUUUUAUAGAAGUAGGAACACAUUUGUGUAGCCAGAUUAAAGCAUCUCUAAAAAAAUGAGUGAAUACUUACUUUUACAUUAUAUUAUAAGUGAGCUUUUUUCUU
Molecule: non-coding RNA, 1911 nt
Organism: Arachis ipaensis
Lineage: Eukaryota; Viridiplantae; Streptophyta; Magnoliopsida; Fabales; Fabaceae
Source: RefSeq, a predicted model, not a curated record